CUUGGUCAUUUAGAGGAAGUAAAAGUCGUAACAAGGUUUCCGUAGGUGAACCUGCGGAAGGAUCAUUAGAGAAAUACAAAUCGAUGGGAAAUUCGUUUCCCUUUCGGUUUUCAACCCUCAUACUUUCUUUGUGCACUUGUUUUCUGCUACUCGGAGUUUUUUCGAAUCCCCCGAUGGCAAUUUUUUUUUUCAACUCUACAAAUCGUAUAUCGUAAACAAAAGCAAAAAAAAGUAGAAACAACUUUCAGCAACGGAUCUCUUGGCUCUCGCUUCGAUGAAGAACGCAGCAAAUUGCGAUACGUAAUGUGAAUUGCAGAACUCAGUGAAUCAUCGAAUCUUUGAACGCAUCUUGCGCUCUUUGGUAUUCCGAAGAGCACACCUGUUUGAGGGUCAUGUUUAACAUUCAACACUAGUUUAUUUCUGUAUAGAAGCAGACUAUGUUGCUUGAUGCUGGCUGAACGUCUGUGUGUGCUCCUUUGUUAGUGCACUCGUUCGAAAUGUCUUUUUUGAUUCUUUUGUUGUUUGGGACACAAAAUAGCCUAUUCCCUUUGUCCUCUUUCGAGGGGAAAUAAGGAUAGGGGCUCGCUCACCCAAUGCCGAUUAGAUGAUUGUGCUUGGUGUGUGCAGUCCCACUCGUUCUUGUUUAGGUUUAGGACCAUUUUGAUCAUGCCUCACUCGACCCUAUUUGUAAAUCAAGACCUCAAAUCAGGUGGGAUUACCCGCUGAACUUAAGCAUAUCAAUAAGCGGAGGAAAAGAAACUAACAAGGAUUCCCCCAGUAACGGCGAGUGAAGUGGGAAAAGCUCAAAUUUGUAAUCUGGCGGCGCAAGCUGUCCGAGUUGUAGCCUUGAGAAGCAAUGUCCGAGUCCUGGCCGGCCCGUGAGUCUGUUGGAAUACAGCGUCUGUGAGGGUGACAACCCCGACAACGUCGUCGUGCCUGGGCUUCAUCAUGUCAUGCUUUCAAUGAGUCGAGUUGUUUGGGAAUGCAGCUCUAAUUGGGUGGUAAAUUCCAUCUAAAGCUAAAUAUCAGCGAGAGACCGAUAGCAAACAAGUACCGUGAGGGAAAGAUGAAAAGCACUUUGGAAAGAGAGUUAAAAGUAUGUGAAAUUGCUGAAAGGGAAACGCUUCACGUCAGCCUUGACUCGUCCUCUUUCAACACUCCCCGGAGUGUGCAUGGGGCGGACGGACAGGCCAGCAUCGGUUAAUGUAUCGCAGCACAAAAGCGCCCAGGGAAGGUGGCCAUCUUCACGGAUGGUGUUAUAGACCUGCGGCACGAUCUGUUCGCUGUCGGUGACCGAGGACCGCAGUGCGUCUUGGGGGUCUCCGGACCUUCCAGCACUUAGGAUGCUUGGCAAAAUGGCGUAAAGCGACCCGUCUUGAAACACGGACC
RNAcentral lists this ribosomal RNA (1389 nucleotides) under uncultured fungus. Its description in RNAcentral is "eukaryotic LSU rRNA". The stretch from base 696 to 1389 matches the Rfam family "Eukaryotic large subunit ribosomal RNA", at positions 1 to 667 of the family's 3401-position model. The record is from RNAcentral. Lineage: Eukaryota; Fungi.